This is a long non-coding RNA of Pan troglodytes (chimpanzee), 3573 nucleotides long. RefSeq lists it as uncharacterized. NCBI's taxonomy places the organism in Eukaryota, Metazoa, Chordata, Mammalia, Primates, Hominidae. The record is from RefSeq and is a predicted model, not a curated record. The transcript has 2 exons.
GGUGGCCGUGGAGGAAUCGUCCCGUUGAGCAAUGACCCCGGUGACGCGGCUGAGGGCUAUAAAAGCAAAAGUUGUGGCCGGUCCAGCAGGAGUUAGCGACAGGGAGGGAUGCGCCCCUGGGUGUAGUUGUGGGGGAGGAAGUGGCUAGCUCAGGGCUUCAGGAGACAGACAGGGAGAGAUGACUGAGUUAGAUGAGACUAGGGGGCGGGCUGGGGGUGCGAGAAGGAAGCUUGGCAAGGAGACUAGGUCUAGGGGGACCACAGUGGGGCAGGCUGCAUGGAAAAUAUCCGCAGGGGCCCCCAGGCAGAACAGCCACGCUCCAGGCCAGGCUGUCCCUACUGCCUGGUGGAGGGGAAACUUGACCUCUGGGAGGGCGCCGCUCUUGCAUGGCUGAGCGAGCCCGGGUGCGCUGGUCUGUGUGGAAGGAGGAAGGCAGGGAGAGGUAGAAGGGGUGGAGGAGUCAGGAGGAAUAGGCCGCAGCAGCCCUGGAAAUGAUCAGGAAGGCAGGCAGUGGGUGCAGGGCUGCAGGAGGGCCGGGAGGGCUAAGCUUCAACUUGUCCAUGCCAGCAGCCCCUUUUUUUCCAGACCAAGGGCUGUGAACCCGCCUGGGGAUGAGGCCUGGUCUUGUGGAACUGAACUUAGCUCGACGGGGCUGACCGCUCUGGCCCAGGGUGGUGGCAGUGCUCCUUUUGGACUUUUCUCUAGGUUUGGCGCUAAACUCUUCUUGUGAGCUCACUCCACCCCUUCUUCCUCCCUUUAACUUAUCCAUUCACUUAAAACAUUACCUGGUCAUCUGGUAAGCCCGGGACAGUAGCCGAGUGGCUGUUGGAGUCGGUAUUGUUGGUAAUGGUGGAGGAAGAGAGGCCUUCCCGCUGAGGCUGGGGUGGGGCGGAUCAGUGUUGCUUGCCUGCAGAGAGGGUGGGGAGUGAGUGUGCACCCUUGGGUGGGCCUGCAGCCAUCCAGCUGAAAGUUACAAAAAUGCUUCAUGGACCGUGGUUUGUUACUAUAGUGUUCCUCAUGGCGAGCAGAUGGAACCGGGAGACAUGGAGCCCCUGGCCAGUGUGAGUCCUAGCAGUGCAGGAGGGGAGACCCUGGAGGAGAGAGCCCGCCUCAAUUGAUGCCUGCAGAUUGAAUUUCCAGAGGCUUAGGAGGAGGAAGUUCUCCAAUGUUCUGUUUCCAGGCCUUGCUCAGGAAGCCCUGUAUUCAGGAGGCUACCAUUUAAAGUUUGCAGAUGAGCUUAUGGGGGGCAAUCUUAAAAAGUCCACAGCAGAUGCAUCCGGCUCGAGGGGCCAUCAGCUUUGAAUAAAUGCUUGUUCCAGAGCCCAUGAAUGCCAGCAGGCACCCCUCCUUUCCUGGGGUAAAGGUUUUCAGAUGCCGCAUCUUCUAAAUUGAGCCUCCGGUCAUACUAGUUUUGUGCUUGGAACCUUGCUUCAAGAAGAUCCCUAAGCUGUAGAACAUUUUAACGUUGAUGCCACAACGCAGAUUGAUGCCUUGUAGACGGAGCUUGCAGAUGGAGCCCCGUGACCUCUCACCUACCCACCUGUUUGCCUGCCUUCUUGUGCGUUGCUCGGAGAAGUUCUUAGCCUGAUGAAAUAACUUGGGGCGUUGAAGAGCUGUUUAAUUUUAAAUGCCUUAGACUGGGGAUAUAUUAGAGGAAGCAGAUUGUCAAAUUAAGGGUGUCAUUGUGUUGUGCUAAACUCUGGGAGGGUACAAGUUGGUCAUUCCUAAAUCUGUGUGUGAGAAAUGGCAGGUCUAGUUUGGGCAUUGUGAUUGCACCGCAGAUUACUAGGAGAAGGGAAUGGUGGGUACACCGGUAGUGCUCUUUUGUUCUUGCUUCGUUUUUUUAAACUUGAACUUUACUUCGUUAGAUUUCAUAAUACUUUCUUGGCAUUCUAGUAAGAGGACCCCGAGGUGGGAGUUGUGGGGGACGGGAAGAAGGGGACAGCUUGGCACUGGUCCCGUGGGCCUUGCAGUGUGGGGGAUGGGGGUAUGCAGCUUGGCACUGGUACUGGGAGGGAUGAGGGUGAAGAAGGGGAGAGGGUUGGUUAGAGAUACAGUGUGGGUGGUGGGGGUGGUAGGAAAUGCAGGUUGAAGGGAAUUCUCUGGGGCUUUGGGGAAUUUAGUGCGUGGGUGAGCCAAGAAAAUACUAAUUAAUAAUAGUAAGUUGUUAGUGUUGGUUAAGUUGUUGCUUGGAAGUGAGAAGUUGCUUAGAAACUUUCCAAAGUGCUUAGAACUUUAAGUGCAAACAGACAAACUAACAAACAAAAAUUGUUUUGCUUUGCUACAAGGUGGGGAAGACUGAAGAAGUGUUAACUGAAAACAGAUGACACAGAGUCACCAGUUUUCCGAGAACCAAAGGGAGGGGUGUGUGAUGCCAUCUCACAGGCAGGGGAAAUGUCUUUACCAGCUUCCUCCUGGUGGCCAAGACAGCCUGUUUCAGAGGGUUGUUUUGUUUGGGGUGUGGGUGUUAUCAAGUGAAUUAGUCACUUGAAAGAUGGGUGUCAGACUUGCAUACGCAGCAGAUCAGCAUCCUUCGCUGCCCCUUAGCAACUUAGGUGGUUGAUUUGAAACUGUGAAGGUGUGAUUUUUUCAGGAGCUGGAAGUCUUAGAAAAGCCUUGUAAAUGCCUAUAUUGUGGGCUUUUAACGUAUUUAAGGGACCACUUAAGACGAGAUUAGAUGGGCUCUUCUGGAUUUGUUCCUCAUUUGUCACAGGUGUCUUGUAAUUGAAAAUCAUGAGCGAAGUGAAAUUGCAUUGAAUUUCAAGGGAAUUUAGUAUGUAAAUCGUGCCUUAGAAACACAUCUGUUGUCUUUUCUGUGUUUGGUCGAUAUUAAUAAUGGCAAAAUUUUUGCCUAUCUAGUAUCUUCAAAUUGUAGUCUUUGUAACAACCAAAUAACCUUUUGUGGUCACUGUAAAAUUAAUAUUUGGUAGCAGACAGAAUCCAUGUACCUUUGCUAAGGUUAGAAUGAAUAAUUUAUUGUAUUUUUAAUUUGAAUGUUUGUGCUUUUUAAAUGAGCCAAGACUAGAGGGGAAACUAUCACCUAAAAUCAGUUUGGAAAACAAGAGCUAAAAAGGGAAGGGGAUGGGGAUUGUGGGGAGAGAGUGGGCGAGGUGCCUUUACUACAUGUGUGAUCUGAAAACCCUGCUUGGUUCUGAGCUGCAUCUAUUGAAUUGGUAAAGUAAUACCAAUGGCUUUUUAUCAUUUCCUUCUUCCCUUUAAAUUUCACUUGAAAUUUUAAAAAUCAUGGUUAUUUUUAUCGUUGGGAUCUUUCUGUCUUCUGGGUUCCAUUUUUUAAAUGUUUAAAAAUAUGUUGACAUGGUAGUUCAGUUCUUAAUGACUUGGGGAUGAUGCAAACAAUUACUGUCGUUGGGAUUUAGAGUGUAUUAGUCACGCAUGUAUGGGGAAGUAGUCUCGGGUAUGCUGUUGUGAAAUUGAAACUGUGAAAGUAGAUGGUUGAAAGUACUGGUAUGUUGCUCUGUAUGGUAAGAACUAAUUCUGUUACGUCAUAUACAUAAUUACUAAUCACUUUUCUUCCCCUUUACAGCACAAAUAAAGGUUUGAGUUCUAAACUCA